AGUUAUUUAGCUUAUAAAAAGUGUAUAUUUUGAAAAUAUAAGAAAGAGUUUUUUAAUAACUU
This 62-nucleotide transfer RNA is filed under the name Trocnadella arisana. RNAcentral describes it as "tRNA-Ser". Lineage: Eukaryota; Metazoa; Arthropoda; Insecta; Hemiptera; Cicadellidae. The record is from RNAcentral.